ACUGGUGCACAUGAUGACUUAAAACUUUUUUCCCCAUCAGAGCGUCAGUGUUGAUCUCUUUGCUGUUACAGCCAGAAUCUGUCUGAUGCACCAGU
This 95-nucleotide small nucleolar RNA is filed under the name Podarcis muralis (Common wall lizard). Its description in RNAcentral is "Small nucleolar SNORD12/SNORD106 (ENSPMRG00000010441.1)". It matches the Rfam family "Small nucleolar SNORD12/SNORD106". Rfam says of the family: This family belong to the C/D class of snoRNA which contain the C (UGAUGA) and D (CUGA) box motifs. This family includes the human ortholog of mouse snoRNA HBII-99 and human snoRNA U106. In humans both HB11-99 and U106 snoRNAs share the same host gene. Lineage: Eukaryota; Metazoa; Chordata; Lepidosauria; Squamata; Lacertidae. The record is from Rfam by way of RNAcentral.